GGAAGGACUUGGACUCGGAGGAGGGACAGAUGUCCGAAACUGGGGCAGCCUGGUUUAUCAGGCUAUUUCAAUAGCAAAUAAUGCAUGCUGGGCUAUUGGAGAACUUGCAGUUAAGAUUUGAGUUAUUUUCUGUGGUCACCACAUUUUAAAGCAACAGCUCAAAGAAAAAGCGACAACUUUAAAAGAUGAACUUGGAG
Arachis stenosperma is the source of this 197-nucleotide long non-coding RNA. RefSeq lists it as uncharacterized. The transcript is spliced from 3 exons. Lineage: Eukaryota; Viridiplantae; Streptophyta; Magnoliopsida; Fabales; Fabaceae. The record is from RefSeq and is a predicted model, not a curated record.